Molecule: ribosomal RNA, 253 nt
Filed under: uncultured bacterium
Lineage: Bacteria
Description: partial 16S ribosomal RNA
Rfam family: Bacterial small subunit ribosomal RNA
Source: RNAcentral
UACGUAGGGUGCGAGCGUUGUCCGGAAUUAUUGGGCGUAAAGGGCUCGUAGGCGGUUUGUCGCGUCGGGAGUGAAAUCCUACGGCUUAACUGUGGGCUUGCUUUCGAUACGGGCAGACUAGAGGUAUGCAGGGGAGAACGGAAUUCCUGGUGUAGCGGUGAAAUGCGCAGAUAUCAGGAGGAACACCGGUGGCGAAGGCGGUUCUCUGGGCAUGAUCUGACGCUGAGGAGCGAAAGCGUGGGGAGCGAACAGG